UUCCGGUUGAUCCCGCCGGAGGCUACUGCCAUCAGAGUUCGAUUAAGCCAUGUUAGUCGAGGGUACCUCUUCUUCUUCGGAGGAUGAGGUAACCCGGCGGACGGCUCAGUAACACGUGGAUAACUUGCCCUUGGGUCUGGGAUAACCCCUGGGAAACUGGGGCUAAUACCGGAUAGAGCAUCAAUCGCUGGAAUGCCUGAUGCUCGAAAACUACGGUGCCCAAGGAUAGGUCUGCGGCUGAUUAGGUUGUUGUUGAUGUAAUGGACCAACAAGCCUACGAUCGGUACGGGUUGUGAGAGCAAUAGCCCGGAGAUGGGUUCUGAGAAAAGAACCCAGGUCCUACGGGACGCAUCAGGCGCGAAAACUUUACAAUGUGCGAAAGCACGAUAAGGGAACUCUGAGUGCCCCCUAAGGGGGCUGUUCUAGUGUCUAAAAAGCAAUAGAAGUAAGGGCUGGGCAAGACCGGUGCCAGCCGCCGCGGUAACACCGGCAGCCCAAGUGGUAGCCACGUUUAUUGGGUCUAAAGCGUUCGUAGCCGGCUUGGUAAGUUCCUUGGUAAAUUUAGCCGCUUAACGGUUAAGCUUUCAGGGAAUACUGCUUGGCUUGGGACUGGGAGAGGUCAGAGGUACUCCAGGGGUAGGGGUGAAAUCCAUUAAUCCUUGGGGGACCACCGGUAGCGAAGGCGUCUGACCAGACCAGCUCCGACGGUGAGGGACGAAGGCUGGGGGCGCGAACCGGAUUAGAUACCCGGGUAGUCCUAGCUGUAAACGAUGCGGGCUAGGUGUUGGCAUUACUGCGAGUGGUGCCAGUGCCGAAGGGAAGCCGUUAAGCUCGCCAUCUGGGGAGUACGGUCGCAAGGCUUAAACUUAAAGGAAUUGGCGGGGGAGCACCACAACGGGUGGAGCCUGCGGUUCAAUUGGAUUCAACGCCGGG
Molecule: ribosomal RNA, 933 nt
Filed under: uncultured archaeon
Lineage: Archaea
Description: bacterial SSU rRNA
Rfam family: Archaeal small subunit ribosomal RNA
Source: RNAcentral